UUUUAAAAAAAAACAAAAAAUGUCCAAAAAGAACAACAAAUGCAGGCGAUAUUAACAAGAAACAAAAAUCAACUCACUUGAUUCUUACUAGAUCGAACUGGGUAAUCUUCAUCAAGAAUCUCUAAGCUGCAGUGAACAAGAACAAAUUCCAUCAAGAAUUUCUAAGCUGCAGUGAACAAGAAACAAAAAGCUGAAUGAAGAAGAACAAAUUUCAUCAAGAAUUUCUAAGCAAAGCUAGAUCGAACUGGGUAAUUUUCUUACUGAUCUGUUUUCUAAGUUCCACUAUAGAUCAAUGAUAGAUCUCCUCUCAAGAGUGGAACAAAUUCAGCUACAAAUUGCCUAAGUUUUCAUCUCAAGCUCUAAUUCGCUGCAGUGAUUUGAUAUAUGGAGUAUUUCUUAGAGAAAAUCAGGUCUUUAAUCUUUCAAGAGUAUUACAACUCAUGGACUGCAUCUCAUAUCUACAGAAAGACCAACAUCGUGUUGCUGGAUUGUCUCCGACUACACUCACUCGCAAUUCAUCUGUGGCUCUUGGAUUCUCAGUUUCACUAUCCUUUCCGCUAAGUGAAAUCUUCAAAAAUAUAAAUAUAAUGUUCGAAAUAAGGCACAUGUUGAAGGAUGCAUAUGCAAUGCGUAUAUAGUUGAUGACGGUUCAUCCUUCUGUUCACACUACUUCGAGCCUCAUGUUUACACAAGGCAUAGAAAAGUGCCACGAAAUGACGAUGGUGGUAUAGGCGAACAAGAUAGAUACGAUGGAAAUUUAUUGACUCCCUUCAUCAAAAUUUUCCACGAAUUACGGAGCAGGAAGUGGACAAGAAACUUGAUGAAGAUUUUGCCUCAUGGUUCACAAGAUAUGCUCGAGUCCACAUAGAUAAUCAGUUCAUCAAGGCGCUUGCAGAAGGUCCAUGUCGAUCAGCGAAACCAUACACUGGUUAUAAUGUCAACGACUUUAAAUUUCACACUAAAGGUCGCAGUUUUUCUGAGCAUCUGAUAACAGUGGCGUUUGCAUAAAAGGAACCAAUUAUAGUGCAGACGACAAUGACUACUGUGGUGUGCUUACUGAAAUUCUUGAAUUGGAGUACAAGGGCAGUACAUCGAUCAAAAGAACAGUUUUAUUUAAAUGUGAAUGGUUUGACCUCACACCAAAUGCAGGAAUGAAGAUUCAUCCGCAAUAUAAACUUGUGGAUAUCAACCAUAAAAGGAAAUUGAAGAAGUAUGAACCAUUUGUUUUGGAAAUGCAAGUAGCUCAAGUGUAUUAUGCUUCUUAUCUUAGCUUACGACGUGCUAAGAGUGAUUGGUGGGCUGUGUGCAAAACAAAAGCUCGGGGUAUUGUUGUUAUGCCUCCAUCAUAUUUAUCGUCUCCUCUAGUAGAUGUUGCAGAGCCAUUCCAAUGUGACGGAGAUGGUUUAAGAUUUGAUGUGGUGUACGACAAUGAAAAUAUUGUCCGAAAUGAUCCAAAUGGAGAAUUCAUAAAUUUAAGAAAUGAGAAUGAUGAUUUAGAUGAUGAGACAGAAUUUCAUGAUGAACCAGACUCAGAAUCAGAUGAUGAAAAUGAGAAUGAAGAGGCAUAUUGUGAAAGUGGCAGUGAAUAGAGUCAAAGUGCUUAGCUCUAAUCUCUUCAAAUAUAAGAGUUAGAGUGACUGAAACGUAGUAUAUAAGAUGAUUUUAUUUCAAUUAGAUUUUAUAUUUCUUGCUGACAAAGUUCUGAAUUUUAAAUGUCACCAAUUUAUAUUUCUCUUUUACCAGUAUAAUUAUUUUGUUUUAAUUGUUCUCCAGGUUGUUUUGUUUGAGCAACUAUCCCUCACUCUCAUUUCGUAAUAUGAAGUAGACCAUUCUAGAUCUAUGUUUUGAAUAGUGAUGGAAUAACUUUAUUCCUUGAAGUGUUUAUGUUUUUAUCUAUUGUCUAGGUUAACACUUUUUUUAACUUUUCAGAGGCAUCUUGUUCUUGAAGUGAUAUAUCUACUUAUUACCUGUUCUUGUUAUAAUUUGACCAAACUGGCCAUGAUUCAAUUAUUAAGUUAUUAUUUCAUCCACAUGUAACUUUGAAAUUGCAGAUAUGGCACCAAGGGGGGUGGACGAAGCAGAUAUUUUGGAGAAAGAUCAUCAGAUCCAGUGACAUCUCCUCUAAUGUCUAGUUUCACACCUGAUCAAGCACCAUCAUUGCCUGAAGUGCCGACACCAGUUAUGCCGGAUUCAGUUGUUGUCAACAUAUCGGCACCAUCUUCAUCUGUGGGGAAUAGAAACACCUAGAAAUGACAUUGUAUCUACAACUUCGUCAAAUACAACUGAUGAUACCUGCACCUGAAUUGAAAUAGUCCUGGGACAAUUAAGCUUAGAUAUGAAUCUACGUACUGAACCCAAGUUUGGAGCCAAGUAACGAUGUAUCUCGGGC
RNA transcript from Solanum tuberosum (potato), 2389 nucleotides. RefSeq lists it as uncharacterized. The record is from RefSeq and is a predicted model, not a curated record. The transcript is spliced from 7 exons. Lineage: Eukaryota; Viridiplantae; Streptophyta; Magnoliopsida; Solanales; Solanaceae.